UCAGGGGGCCGGGCAGCCGCGUUAGAGCUUGCUCUACCGAGGAAAGUCCGGGCUCCACGAAACGAGGGUGGCGGGUAACGCCCGCCCGGCGAGUGCCCGCGGGUACGAAGCCGAGGGACAGUGCCACAGAGAGUAUACCGCCGAUGGAGGGAGACCUCACAGGCAAGGGUGAAAGGGUGCGGCAAGAGCGCACCGGGUGACCGGCAACGGAAACCGCAUGGCAAACCCCACCCGGAGCAAGGCCAAAUAGGGGCCUCGCGCCAGUUCGCUGGCAGGGGCGUUUCGUCCCGAGAGGCCCGGGUUGGCUGCUUGAGCGCAGGGAGCAAUCCCUCGCCUAGAUGAAUGGCUGCCCCUGCGGCGCUGAUGUGCGAGCAUAUCGGCCGCAGGACAGAACCCGGCUUACAGGCCCCCUGACACC
This 418-nucleotide RNase P RNA is filed under the name Altererythrobacter xiamenensis. Its description in RNAcentral is "Bacterial RNase P class A". It matches the Rfam family "Bacterial RNase P class A". Rfam says of the family: Ribonuclease P (RNase P) is a ubiquitous endoribonuclease, found in archaea, bacteria and eukarya as well as chloroplasts and mitochondria. Its best characterised activity is the generation of mature 5'-ends of tRNAs by cleaving the 5'-leader elements of precursor-tRNAs. The record is from Rfam by way of RNAcentral. Lineage: Bacteria; Pseudomonadati; Pseudomonadota; Alphaproteobacteria; Sphingomonadales; Erythrobacteraceae.